AGGCCAGACUCCUACGGGAGGCAGCAGUGGGGGAUAUUGCACAAUGGGGGGAACCCUGAUGCAGCGACGCCGCGUGGGUGAAGAAGUAUUUCGGUAUGUAAAGCCCUAUCGGCAGGGAAGAAAUUGGACGGUACCUGACUAAGAAGCCCCGGCUAACUACGUGCCAGCAGCCGCGGUAAUACGUAGGGGGCAAGCGUUAUCCGGAUUCACUGGGUGUAAAGGGAGCGUAGACGGUUGUGCAAGUCAGAAGUGAAAGCCCGGGGCUCAACUCCGGGACUGCUUUUGAAACUGUGAAACUGGAGUGCAGGAGAGGUAAGCGGAAUUCCUGGUGUAGCGGUGAAAUGCGUAGAUAUCAGGAGGAACACCAGUGGCGAAGGCGGCUUACUGGACUGUAACUGACGUUGAGGCUCGAAAGCGUGGGGAGCAAACAGGAUUAGAUACCCGCGUACG
Molecule: ribosomal RNA, 450 nt
Filed under: uncultured bacterium
Lineage: Bacteria
Description: bacterial SSU rRNA
Rfam family: Bacterial small subunit ribosomal RNA
Source: RNAcentral